CAAGGACUACAAGGAGCCACCACCGGCACCAUUGUUUGAGCCUGGUGAACUCAAGUCAUGGUCUUUCUACAGAGCUGGCAUUGCAGAGUGUAUGGCCACCUUCUUGUUCCUUUACAUCACCAUCUUGACUGUCAUGGGUGUGUCUCAGUCUAAGACAAAAUGUAAUAAUGUUGGUAUUCAAGGCAUUGCUUGGGCCUUCGGUGGCAUGAUCUUUGCUCUUGUCUACUGCACUGCUGGCAUUUCAGGUCUCCUUCCUCAAACUUUUAAUGGGUAGUCUGUAGAUUUUGGUUUCUUUGGCUAAUUUUUCAAACUCCAAAAAAAAAAAAAAGGGUUUUGGCUUUGGUUUCUAUGGCUAAUUACAAAGCUUGGAACUUUUUCUUGCAUAUUACACCUUAGGCUAACCUAAUAUCUUGAAGAUGCUUAAGAUUCUUUCGUAAAAGAUGUUUAAUAACCAGAUCUGCAUUUGUUUUUUGUGACUUCAGGUGGCCACAUCAACCCAGCUGUGACCUUCGGGCUGUUACUGGCUAGGAAGCUGUCCCUUACCAGGGCAGUUUUCUACAUCAUCAUGCAGUGCCUCGGUGCCAUUUGUGGAGCUGGUGUAGUGAAGGGAUUCCAAGGUGACAGUCGAUAUGAGUUGUUGGGUGGUGGAGCUAACGUUGUGAAACCUGGUUACACCAAGGGUGAUGGUCUUGGUGCUGAGAUCAUUG
This 707-nucleotide long non-coding RNA is filed under the name Durio zibethinus. Its description in RNAcentral is "long non-coding RNA (DZIB_LNC002077)". Lineage: Eukaryota; Viridiplantae; Streptophyta; Magnoliopsida; Malvales; Malvaceae. The record is from RNAcentral.